RNAcentral lists this transfer RNA (464 nucleotides) under Streptococcus parauberis. RNAcentral's name for it is "16S-23S ribosomal RNA intergenic spacer". The stretch from base 116 to 188 matches the Rfam family "tRNA". The record is from RNAcentral. Lineage: Bacteria; Bacillati; Bacillota; Bacilli; Lactobacillales; Streptococcaceae.
CUCCUUUCUAAGGAAAUGGAAGCACGUUAGGAAAAGUCUUAUUUAGUUUUGAGAGGUCUUAUUAAAGUAAUGAGAUAGAAACACCACUAAUAAUGUAACAACCAGUUUAUUAGUUGGGGCCUUAGCUCAGCUGGGAGAGCGCCUGCUUUGCACGCAGGAGGUCAGCGGUUCGAUCCCGCUAGGCUCCAUUAUCUAGGAUACAAAGAGAUGUUCGGCUUGCCGAAAUUUCUUAAGAAAUUAAUCUCGUGUUCAACUAGAUAAGUAGGAUAAAAAUCCUAACAUAGUCCAUUGAAAAUUGAAUAUCUAUAUCAAAUUCCACAAUUAAGAAAUUAAUUGUAGAAAACAAGUAACAGAAAUAACCGAAAAAAAAGAUAAACGCGAACAUAUUUAAAAAAAUUUANAAGAAGGUCGAAAGACUGGAAAUAAGGUUNAGUUAAAAAGACUGGAAAUAAGGUUAAGUUAAU